Molecule: RNA transcript, 6569 nt
Organism: Sus scrofa (pig)
Lineage: Eukaryota; Metazoa; Chordata; Mammalia; Artiodactyla; Suidae
Source: RefSeq, a predicted model, not a curated record
CUGCAGAGCCAGAAGUGAGCUGCGUCUGCAACCUACACUGCAGCUCACAGCAAUGCUGGAUCCUUAACCAACUGAGUGGGCCAGGGAUCAAACCCACGUCCUCAUGGAUACUAGUUGGCUUCGUUACAGUUGAACCACAUCGACAACUCCCUACUUCACCAUCUUGACCAAUCACCUGCUCCAUUUUUUUUUUUUUUUUUGAUAGAGUACAAAGGGCAGGCAUCUUUUUAGUUCUGAGUGGCCUUAUCCUUCCUAUUUUGGACUCCUCACUGGGUCAAAUAUUCAUUUGUGCCUUCCUUUAUACAGUGUCAUAUAGUACAUGGACAGCACUAGUUAAAGAAGAGGGGUACAAAUCUAAGAAACUCUACUGCAUAAUGCUUAGCUAAUUCUCAGGUUCUAGCCAGACUGUCUGCAUUUAAAUACAUACUCUGCCACUUUGUGGUUGUGUGACGUUGGGCAAAGUACUGAGCCUCUCUGUGUUUCUGUUUCCUCAUUUAAGAAAACGGGAAUGCUAGGACUUAUCUUAAUGGUGUUAUUAUGAAGACCAAAGGAGUUAAUUUAUGUAACAUGGUUAGAAUGGUGCCUGGCAUAAAAUGAGUGUAUAAAAAAAUAUCUACAACUCACUAAAGAAAGACCAAUAAUCAGAAUAUACAAUUUAUAGAUAAGGCAAUACAAGUUGCUACUAAAUAUAUGAAAAAAUAAUCAAUUUCAUUCAUAAUAAGAGGCGUUUUUAGUCUAUCAGAUUGGCAAAGAUGGGAAUAUUUGACGACACAUUGCACUGGUGAAGGUGAGGGAAAUUAGAUAUUUUCAUGAAUUGCUAAUGAGAAUGUUAACCAGAGAGCAGUUUGGCAAGAACUAUAGGAAGUGAAAAUGCACAUAACUUCUUUUUCUGCAAUAGCAUAUCUUAGACUUUAUUUUACAAACUGUAAAGUAACCUAUAUACCAGAAUAUUUCAUAAAGCACUUUUUGUAAUUGUAAAAUAAUGAAAAGGAAAGAACAACUCUAUAAUGAUAUGGAAAAAUGUCUAAUAUAUAUUGCUAAGUGAAAGAAUACAGGUACAGAACUAUGAGUAUAGUAUAAUGUCAUUUGUAUAAACAAAAGAACAAUACAAACAGCCUUUUAUUAGUUUAGAAUAUAUUAUCCAAGAUAAAAUAUUCUUUUUAGAUAUACACAAAUAUUCUUUUUAGAGAUAAACGGAGGUGGUUUGGGACAGGCAGAUUUCUUUUCUACUGUAAUCUUUCAUGCCAUUAGAAUUUUAACAUAUUUUUUUGGCUGUACCAACAGCAUGAGAAAGUUCCUGGGCUAGGGAUCAAAUCCAUGCUACAGAAGUGACCUCAGCCACAGAAGUGACAAUGCUGGAUCCUUAACCCACAACAGAUUUUUUUUUUUUUUUAAACCAGGAGCAUACAUUUUCUAGUCAUAAAAAAAGUGCAAAUGUCAAAAAAAACCCACAAAAAAACAAAAACAAAACAAACCUGUAAAAAGUAAAAAAAACAAAAACAAAAAAACACAUGGAAGUUCUUGGGCCAGGGACUGAAUCUGAACCACAGUUUUGACCUAUGCCACAGCUGCAGCAACCCAAACCACUGCAGUAGGAUUCUUAACCCACCAUGCUACAGCAUGUACCCCUAAAAAAGUAAAUUUUUUAUAUUAACUUUAGACUUAAUUUAUCAUUGGAAAACCAUUUGACUUACUACUUUUUUUUAGGUGUUUUUGCAAAAUUCAGUAAGCUAAAUCCCUGGACUUUAGCUCAGACACAAUCAGUUAAGUCAGUUAAGUUAAAAAGAAGACCUAUAAUUUUUCAGUAAGACUACUCAUUAUCUCAGCUUUCUUAUCUAUAAGAUGACAGUGAAUAUGUUUACCUGCUUGAAAGAGUUGCUAGAGGAAUUUCUGAUCGGUGUUUCAGCAGUAACUUGUAAAGGUGAUGGAAUUGCAGAAUGGGGUCUGUUACCGUUUGAGACUGUCCUCCAGCUCAUCAUUUCCAGAAGAAGGAGAGCAUUUAAAUUGUCCCAUUGGGUUGUACUUUGUGAUCCACUCAAUUUGCUCUUUCAUUUUUGUCCUGCCUUUUUUUUUUCUCUUCUUUUUAGGCUGUACCUGCAGCAUAUGGAGGUUCCCAGGCUAGGGAUUAAAUUGGAGCUACAGCUGCUGGCCAUAGCCACAGCCAAAGUGAUGCAGGAUCCGAGCCACGUCUGUGACCUAAAACCACAGCUCAUGGCAAUCCUGGAUCCUUAACCCACUGAGUGAGGCCAGGGAUUGAACCUGCAUCCUUAUGGAUACUAGUCAGGUUCGUUACCACUGAGACACACUGGGAAAUCCCUGCCUUGUUCCUUGUGAGGUUAGUUUGGAGCAUCACCAGCUUCCCACCAUCAAGCCCAGUUGACUUCUUCCUCUGCCCCCAAACCCCACAUCCAACCCUUUGCCAAGUUGCUUCUGUCACCCCAAUGCCUCUCUCAUCUGUUCAUCUCCAAUCAUACAGUUCAUAGCAGCAGCUUGAACUGGAUUCAUUGGACCCACUCCUCAGAUCAUCCUCCCAGCUUCCUUUAUUUGGUUUAGUGUUACCUGAUUUUUAACACUCAGAUUAAAUUUGGCUUCUUUAUUAAAUCUGUGCUGAAAAUUCCCCUUGAGGAUUAUAGUACACUCUGCUUCAUAUUUAUAUUUUGUAUACCCUUCUUGUAACCUUCAUCAUAUCACAUUGUGCAAUGGACUCAAUGUUUGUAACCCCCACCCAAUUCACAUGUUGAAAUCCUUAGUCUCAACAGGGUAGGAAGUGGCGCCUUUGGGGACUAUUAGGUUAUGAGUGUGGAGCCCUCAUGAAUGAGCGCAUGGAGAGAAGGCAGUGUCUGCAACCAGAAGAGGACUCCUGCAGAACCUGACCGUGCUGGCACCCUGAUCUUAGCCUUCCAGCUCCAGAACCAUGAGAAAUAAAUGUCUGUUGUUUAUAAAACACCCAGUCUGUGGUAAUUUGUCAACCAAGACACAAUGUAACUACUUGUUUUUCAUGUUUGUUGUUCUCACUAGGCUGGGAGAUCCUCCAGACAGGACUAAGCCCUCUCCCCUUUUGGAAACUAUCAUGUAUUGAUGAGCUUCUAUGUGCCAAGUUCUAUAGAAAAGUUGUAGCUAUGUUAUCUCAUUGUAUCCCUUCCUCAGCAACCCCUAGAAAUAGACAUGAAAUCCAGGUUAGAGGGGAGGAUUCUAAGAACAGAGAAUUUAAGAGACUUGCUGAGCUGCAAUUUGUAAAUUUCCUCUUUGUAUUCUGUUAUAUCAUCCAACUCAGUGGUGUUCAGUGCUAAGGGCAAGCUAAAAUUCCUGAAUGUAGGCUCAGUUUAGAUACCACCUGUUCUAGGUAUCCCCUGUACCCUAAUGUUACCUCUUUGUUGCAUGUAAAUCCUGAUCAGACCUCUGUUACCACAUUUACCUCUCUGACUUGUGCUCUUCCACCAGGCAGGUGAGUUUUCUAAGUCUGUUGUGUAGACUAGAUGGAUAAUACUUCUCUUCUGCCCUGAGCAGGCAGGAGUGGGAGGCUGGCCUGCUGGGCCAGCUCUGGAAGAAAUGCUCCCGGAGCACCCAGGGCCAAGGCAGUUAAUUUGCCCUAGUGGUGAGGAGGAAAUUUCUUGUAAAAGCUAGCUCCCCUCAGAACAAUGUGGCCUUUUAUAUUUUAGCUUUGGAAUGGAGCCUAGCUGUCCGUGGAAACAAAGAGAGGAGAGAAUCACUGAACCAGUCUCACACAUAAAAAACUGACCAUGUCUGUCUUUGAAGUCUCCUUUAUGUCGUUUUUGAAAACUUUGGAUUAUAGGGGUGUUUUUUCCUCCUUUUCUUCCUCAGUUCCUCACCCCACCCCAAUUUUUUUUCAGAGAGAAGAGAGAACUGGGUGUAAGGGAACCUUUCUUUGAAACGGGGCAGAAGUCAUUAAUUAAGGCUCCCAUUCAUUCCUGCUGACAGUUGCUCAUCAAUCAGAUUUCCUCUUAGCAUUCUGAUGACCCUGCUGACCUGGAGUCCUCCAUACUGUCUGCCAGACGGAAUUGAAACUCAGACCACACACCAGAAAAGAGGGAGUGGGCCCUGGCUCCUGGCUUCCUGAGAUUGAGGAGGAAGCAUCUGGGGACAAAGCUGGCGGGUCGGGAGCCCUUUGGAGUCGAGGUGAAGGCGCAGGCUGGGAGAAGAGAAGAGGUGGGUCUCACUGAGGCUGGAGUUUUUCAAGAAGAGUACCAUGAAGCAAGAGAGGAAAAGAGAGCUGAAGGUGCAUGUGCUCUGCUGCCGUCUGCUGUAUGAAAUGACCUGCUGGGCACAGUUUAUUCUGAAGGGUUCCCGUGUGGAAAAGUGGAAAACCACACACGCUCAGAUGUUUGUGAUCUCCAGCUACAAGUCCAGACGGGGGUGAGGCAGCUGCAUUCAGGCUUCCUGUUCUCCACCCAUUGCAUAAGAAACACAGGGGCCAGAGAAAUAUUAAAUGACACCAUGGAGAUGGAUCCAACUAACUGAAUCCAGAAGAUGAGGAAACUGAGCCUUAGGAAGAUAGGCUGACUUGUCUAAGGGCACUCACCAGAAUUUGAAUCUGUCUUCAUCUAACUCCCAAUCAUCUUUGAUGCUCAGAGCUCCAAUGAUGUGUUGAAUAUGGUAAUAAAGAAAUAUCAGUCAGGAGGACUGAUGUUAAUGAGAUGGUGGAACAAGUGGUCCUGGCUUCAGUCUCCUUCACAGAAAGACCUGAUGGCAACUGUGCACAAGAUGCCUCUGGGAAGAUUCCAAAUCCUAGGAGUAAGGCUGAAGCAUACGCUUGGAUCCAAGGUACAGAAACAAAGAAAAACUGCACUGGAAAGGUUGAGACCACGAUGUCGCUUUGCAUGGCCCCUCCCCUCUGCAGGCAUAGUUCUGUUCCUGGAGGGUUUCUCAGGGCCUAUAAUCUCUUCUGUGGGAUAAAGAGAGCUCAAGGUCAAAAUCCAGCUUCCCCAGCAUUCCAGGAUGCGUUCCAGGAGGGCCACUUCAGCCUUGCCUCACAGGAAUCACUGGGGGAGUCAAUGAGGGUAGACUAGUAGGGAUCAGCUAGAGACAGAGAAGGGGAUGAGGCUCACAGCAAAGAACAUGUGGGUCUUGGCCAAUUAUGUUCCUGCUGGUGAUGACACCUGAGCAGAGAGCCUGACCAGUGUCCUGCCUACCCACAGAGUGAGCUAGAGGCCCUGUCUGGCCGGGUUUUGUGGGCAGUUCUGCACAGUUUGGGUCCCCACCCAAGGGGCUGUCUGGCCGAAGAUCUUAUACUAUGACCCUACCCACCCUGGAUGCCAAGCCCCCAGUCCUGCCUGGCAAGAGCCUGGCAAGAGACCAUGAGCAGCCUCUGAGCCCAGUUUACUGCUCUGUUUGGGCAGGGAAGCAAGCCAUCAGUCCUACCUAGCAACAGAGCACAGCUUGUGGCCUUGUCCAACCAUGGAGGCUGGGCACCAAACCUGCCCAGUCUCAGAGCCUAAGGCCCAAGUCAAUUAUUGAGCAUAUUCAGUGGUCCAACCCAAUCAGGGAGCCAGCCCAACAUCAGAGCACAGCUAGUGGCCUGUCCAAUUGUGGAUUACAGCCUGUGGCCCUGUCUCAUCAUAUAGUAAGCCAGCUGCAGUUUUUGAGGCUAGUAUUACCCCGAUACCAAAGCCAGAUAACAUUACAAGAAAAGGUAAUCAUAGGCCAAUACAUCUCUGAGGAAUACUGAAGAAAAAUCCUCAACAAAAUAUUAGCAAAUCAAAUUGAACAGUACAUUAAAAGGAUCAUACACUACAAUUAAGUGUUUUUUUUCCCCAGGGAUUCAAGCAUGUUUCAACCUAUGUAAACCAACUAAUGUAUGUAACAUUAAUAAAAUGAAGGAUUAAAAUCAUUUGAUCAGAAAAAAAUCAUUUGACAAAAUCUAACAUCCUUUCAUGACGAAAACUUUCAACAAAGUGGAUAUGGAGGGAACAUGCCUUGACUUAAUAAAGGCCAUAUAUAAAAAACCCACAACUAACAUCACACUCAACAGCAAAUGUUUGAAAGCUUUUCCUCUAAGGUCAGGAGCAAGACAAAGAUGCCCGCUCUCACCACUCCUAUUCAACACAGUACUGGAAGCCCUAGCUAGAGCAGUUAGGCAAGUAAAAGAAAUAAAAAACAAACAGAUUGGAAAGGAAGAAGUAAAAUUGUCUCUAUUUGCAGAUAACACGAUCUUCUAUAUAGAAAAUCAUAAAAGGUCCAGCAAAAAACUUUUAGAAUCAAUAAAUACAGUAAAAUUCAAGGAUGCAAAAUCAACACGCAAAAAUCAGUUGCGUUCCUGUAUAUGGAGAAUGAAUUCUCUGAGAAUGAAAUAAAUAAAAUAGUCCUAUUCAAAAUAAUAUCCAAAAGAAUAAAAAUACUGAGAAAUAAAUUUUAUCAAGGAAGUGAAAGAUCUAUAUACUGAAAUCAUGGCUUUGAUGAAAUAAAUUGGAGAAGACACAAAUAAAUGAAAAGAUAUUCUAUAUUCAUGGAUGAAUCACAAGAAUUAAGAUAGUUAAAAUACCCAUGGGAGUUCCCUGGUGGCCUAGCAGUUAAGGAUUUGGCACUAUCACUGCUGUGGUUUGGGUUCAAUC